UCUUAAGCAAAAUAGACUAGAAAAAGAAUAAUAAGAGUUAGAGAGUAUUUGCUAGUGACUGUAGUGAGUUAAGGAGUAGAUUAGUUGGACAGACUUUAACAAGUGACUUAGAUCACUUAAAGGCUAUUGGCACUUCUAACUAUACAUGUACACUGAUAAGGCAAAAUAGGUGCCAUUUGUAAGACUAAUUGAGGAUUCAAUUAUCACUAAAAAUUGGUGAUUGAUAUACACUUCAAUCAAAAAUUUGAAUUUGAGAAAAGAGCUAACUACCUAAAAUAAAAGUGCAAAUAAAGAGUAUACGUGGAUUGCCCUAAGCUUAGUAAUCGGAUCUCUGCCCUAAGUCAAGUGUGGAGGCUCGCAUCAAAUGGUAAAAGGAAGACCAGGAUGCUCAGCACUAAAAAAAAUAAAAAAAA
RNAcentral lists this long non-coding RNA (413 nucleotides) under Elaeis guineensis (African oil palm). Its description in RNAcentral is "long non-coding RNA (EGUI_LNC037731)". Lineage: Eukaryota; Viridiplantae; Streptophyta; Magnoliopsida; Arecales; Arecaceae. The record is from RNAcentral.